This 68-nucleotide transfer RNA is filed under the name Aphaenomurus interpositus. RNAcentral describes it as "tRNA-Leu". The record is from RNAcentral. Lineage: Eukaryota; Metazoa; Arthropoda; Collembola; Entomobryomorpha; Tomoceridae.
GUUAACUUGGCAGAAUUAGUGCACUAAAUUUAGAAUUUAGAUAUAAAAUUUAUUUGUUUUAGUUAAUA